This is a long non-coding RNA of Calidris pugnax (ruff), 489 nucleotides long. RefSeq lists it as uncharacterized. The transcript has 2 exons. The record is from RefSeq and is a predicted model, not a curated record. NCBI's taxonomy places the organism in Eukaryota, Metazoa, Chordata, Aves, Charadriiformes, Scolopacidae.
GCCAUGGGGACGGCGGGGACGGCGCACACACACACGCAGACGGGGGUUUAUUGCGCGGGCACACCUGUCUGGGCUGCUCCGCUCUUUGCUCCGCCGGAGGGACGGCACAAAUGUCCUGCGGCAAUAAAGGUGGUGAUCGCCCUUCGCCUCGGCCCCUCUGCCCCUGCCCGGGCGCCGCAUGAGUAACGGCUGAGUAACGGCGAGGAGGCGGGGGGGGAAGCGGGCGGCAGGUCUCCGGGAUCACCGUGUCCUGGCCGCGGCCGCCUCUCCUCUCUCGGCUCUUGCGUAAGAAAUCCUGAGGCUGGAGGAGGACACGCAGCUGCGGGUGCCGUCUUCGACAAGGUGAUGCCAAACCCAAGGAGCGAUGCCCAAGAGCUCUGAAAAACAAGUUGCUGAAUCGGUUGCUCAGACGUUAAUGGGUGACAGACGGGCCCGGCAAACCUCCGUCAGCCCCUUUGUUCACAGUGCAAUUAAAACCCAUUGUCAUUA